Long non-coding RNA from Ctenopharyngodon idella (grass carp), 2212 nucleotides. RefSeq lists it as uncharacterized. The transcript has 2 exons. The record is from RefSeq and is a predicted model, not a curated record. Lineage: Eukaryota; Metazoa; Chordata; Actinopteri; Cypriniformes; Xenocyprididae.
CACAGACAAAGUGUAUAUAUAUAUAUUGGUUUAAUGACCAUCCAUAUUUAUUUUUCAGUCUCUUUAUUACAAUACAAACAGAAAAUACAGGAAAUAUGUAGGGCUACACAAAAUGUAAAAAAAAAAUUCUGAAAAAAUUUGUUUCAACCAAAAAACAGUAUUUAGUGUGACCUCCUGAAACUCUGAGAAACUUCUCAUCAGAUUUUGAAAGUUUUCUUGGCCUUCCAGUCCUUUUCCAUAACAUUUAGAUUUAAGAGAGCCAGGUUCCUGCUAUUGCGCAAGUGUAAGGAGAGGUCACUAUGUACUUGCCACUUUAGCCUAUAAAAGCAUUUUUUUUUAUUUCUUUUUUAAUACUGCAUACAAAUUUACUGUAUUUUCUGGUUAUAUUCUAAUAAAGAGACUGAGAAAUAAUUAUAUAUCUUUAUAUUAUUGCUAAAACGUCUAAUGGUGACCUAAGACUUUUGCACAGUACUGUAUAUAUAUAUAUAUAUAUAUAUAUAUAUAUAUAUAUAUAUAUAUAUAUAGCCUUGUAUAUGUUGCAUGAUGUUGGCUGUAUUGUCAGUGGUAAAUUGUAGCUGAUGUUAGCUUAUUUUUAGAACGGCACGGUGGAUGAAAUCUUGAGGCUGGCAUUGGCUUCAGGUUACCCCUCUGCAGGUAGCAGUUCCCUGACAAUUCAUUUGAAAUUUGGCAGCGUUCGUGACAGCGAAAACGCAAAAGGAAAUGCAAGAUUUUCAACUUCGUUUGGAUUAUGUCACAAUUUAUGCGUCCACAUAUGUAAAACGCAAUUGCAGUUCCCUGACAAUUCAAGAAACGGCAUAACUCAUCUCCUUCGUCAGCACUUAACAGCGCCCUGCUGAAUGAAUGAAUAAAUAAUAAAUAAAUAAUAUCUUCCCCUAUGCUUUCACUUUGCUUAUCUUACAGCUUAUGCGUUUGCAUAUGAAUUAGGCCUAUGUGAUAAAUCACAUGAUUCAGAAACUCUGAAAUCCCUCACAAGCAAAGUUUCGUUUCUGUGAAAACGUCGACUGUAAUGUGUCUGGACCGGAUUGGCUGCUGAUUUGUUUGUUCUUUGAUGAGGCGUGAACAGUUUCUGCAGGAAGAGUAUAAAUAACGGAUGAAGAACCAUUUCCGCAUUAACUGCUCUACGCUGCUCUGAAGCUUAAACAAAUCAAUCAGAAUGAUCUUUUCCGAGGGGAGUGAUGAAGAGGAUGAUGAUGAUGAUGAUGAAGAAGAUGAUGGAGGUGCUGGAGUAAGUGUCUGCUGCCAAGGGUAGACAACUGCUCCAGACCUUGAUGCAGCGUGUCGAGAAAGACCCAAUAGUACGCUGGAUCCAUGAACUGUGUGUAUUUGCUGACACAAGCAAGCAGCAGCCAAAGAAACACACAGCUUCUUUUGUGAUAAAUGUCACAACCCAAGCACCUCCCGCGCCAUGUGUGUCCAUGGCAAACCUGACACGUAGACCAUGAUUCCUCCAUGGGAACGAUGGACCUCGCAACUUUCCCGCUGUUCAGUGGCAGCACCAUCGGUUUUCUUCAGAACGGCUCUGUUUUUGUGUCUGUUUGUGCAACCCUGAAGAAACCAUGGAGAGAAGAAUGAAAUAUACAUGGAGAGGUGAUGACCUCAUGAGUAAAGAGCUGCUGUUCCAGAGGUUGGAAGAUGUGAGCCAGUUAUUUCUGUCAUCACAAUCGUCCUCAAUCACCAUUGUGCCAUCGAGCAAUGCACAUGACUCCAAGUUAUUUCAGCAGGACUGACUGUUUUUUGCAACAGGUCUACAGUAGUCAACCAUCCAUUAAAAUACAAACAGAGAUGGGCUGGAUGGGCAUUUUGAAAAUGUACUAAUGGAUGCAUGUUGCUCACAUUUAUUUAUUGGGAGGUCAAUGCCCCUUUGAAGCCCAGGUGUAUUUGUUGUAAGGAUAUAUUCAGACUAUGGCUGCUUGGUCCAAAGCUCUCCAGUAUAACUAUAGCAGAAGGUUUCUGGAGCAGCGGAUCAGGGUCAGAGGUAAAAGCCCACUGUUUUAUGUUUUUUUUUUUUUUUUCUUUUGAAUUCUUUUAUCUCACUUGAUGCCACGUCAACGCCACUCGGCUAUAGAGAGCAUGCUCAGAGCGAGAUGACAUGUUCACCAGGAUAGGGUUCACAGGCACAACGGUUCUGCACGUCGAGCUGACUUAGUUGAAUCCGCUGGUUCAGAUACCUUACUAACACUACACAAAAUGA